UAUCUCUGUAGAGUCUGCAUAUCAAUAAGCGGAGGAAAAGAAACUAACAAGGAUUCCCUUAGUAACGGCGAGUGAAGCGGGAAGAGCUCAAAUUUGAAAUCUUCAAGGUUCUACCUUGACGAAUUGUAGUUUAAAGAAGUGUUUUCUGUUGAAGUUUCGGUAAAAGUUCUUUGGAAUAGGACAUCAUAGAGGGUGAGAAUCCCGUAUUUGACCAGUUCUUUCCAGCUGUGUGAUACACUUUCAAAGAGUCGGAUUGUUUGGGUAUGCAGUCCAAAAUGGGUGGUAAAUUUCAUCUAAAGCUAAAUAUUGGCGAGAGACCGAUAGCGAACAAGUACCGUGAGGGAAAGAUGAAAAGAACUUUGAAAAGAGAGUUAAACAGUACGUGAAAUUGUCAAAAGGGAAGCGUUUGACACCAGUGUUGUUUUCUCGAAAAUCAAUUAAAAAUGGCUUGAUUUUGUGUUGUAUUGACCUUAAAAGCUUUCUUCACUUUUUUCAUGUCUUUUUUAAUGCACUUUUCGUUUAACAAGUCAACAUCAGUUUCUUUUGUUGUAAAAAGGUCAUUGGAAGGUGGCUUUCUUUUCGGAGAAAGUGUUUAUAGCCUUUGACUCCUGCAAUCGGAGAGACUGAGGUCUGCAGCGUAGAUCCUUCUUGGAUUAGAUUCAUUUGUGCUAAGUUAUAGCUUUUCAUAGACAACUUGUUGACUAUGUUUAGUCUUGUAGCUUACUCGCUUAUGUAAUUUUACCUACGCUUAGGAUGUUGAUCUCUGCACAGUCGAGC
Molecule: ribosomal RNA, 777 nt
Filed under: uncultured Neocallimastigales
Lineage: Eukaryota; Fungi; Neocallimastigomycota; Neocallimastigomycetes; Neocallimastigales
Description: partial large subunit ribosomal RNA
Rfam family: Eukaryotic large subunit ribosomal RNA
Source: RNAcentral